UAACGCGAAGAACCUUACCAAGGCUUGACAUACACCGGAAACGGCCAGAGAUGGUCGCCCCCUUGUGGUCGGUGUACAGGUGGUGCAUGGCUGUCGUCAGCUCGUGUCGUGAGAUGUUGGGUUAAGUCCCGCAACGAGCGCAACCCUUGUUCUGUGUUGCCAGCAUGCCCUUCGGGGUGAUGGGGACUCACAGGAGACUGCCGGGGUCAACUCGGAGGAAGGUGGGGACGACGUCAAGUCAUCAUGCCCCUUAUGUCUUGGGCUGCACACGUGCUACAAUGGCAGGUACAAUGAGCUGCGAAGCCGUGAGGCGGAGCGAAUCUCAAAAAGCCUGUCUCAGUUCGGAUUGGGGUCUGCAACUCGACCCCAUGAAGUCGGAGUUGCUAGUAAUCGCAGAUCAGCAUUGCUGCGGUGAAUACGUUCCCGGGUCUUGUACACACCGA
Molecule: ribosomal RNA, 443 nt
Filed under: uncultured bacterium
Lineage: Bacteria
Description: bacterial SSU rRNA
Rfam family: Bacterial small subunit ribosomal RNA
Source: RNAcentral